This 433-nucleotide ribosomal RNA is filed under the name uncultured bacterium. RNAcentral's name for it is "partial 16S ribosomal RNA". It matches the Rfam family "Bacterial small subunit ribosomal RNA", at positions 29 to 507 of the family's 1533-position model. The record is from RNAcentral.
AACGAACGCUGGCGGCAUGCCUAACACAUGCAGGUCGAACGAGACCUUCGGGGCUAGUGGCGCACGGGUGCGUAACGCGUGGGAACCUGCCCUUAGGUUCGGAAUAACUCCCCGAGAGGGGUGCUAAUACCGGAUAAUGUCUUCGGACCAAAGAUUUAUCGCCUUUGGAUGGGCCCGCGUUGGAUUAGCUAGUUGGUAGGGUAAAAGCCUACCAAGGCGACUAUCCAUAGCUGGUCUGAGAGGAUGAUCAGCCACACUGGGACUGAGACACGGCCCAGACUCCUACGGGAGGCAGCAGUGGGGAAUAUUGGACAAUGGGCGAAAGCCUGAUCCAGCAAUGCCGCGUGAGUGAUGAAGGCCUUAGGGUUGUAAAGCUCUUUUACCCGGGAUGAUAAUGACAGUACCGGGAGAAUAAGCUCCGGCUAACUCCGUG